Molecule: unclassified non-coding RNA, 372 nt
Filed under: soil metagenome
Description: partial contains 5.8S ribosomal RNA, internal transcribed spacer 2, and large subunit ribosomal RNA
Rfam family: 5.8S ribosomal RNA (bases 1-120)
Source: RNAcentral
GAUGAAGAACGUAGUGAAAUGCGAUAAGUAAUGUGAAUUGCAGAAUUCAGUGAAUCAUCGAAUCUUUGAACGCACAUUGCGCCCGGCAGCAAUCUGCCGGGCAUGCCUGUCCGAGCGUCAUUUCUUCCCUCGAGCGCGGCUAGCCCUACGGGGCCUGCCGUCGCCCGGUGUUGGGGCUCUACGGGUGGGGCUCGUCCCCCCCGCAGUCCCCGAAAUGUAGUGGCGGUCCAGCCGCGGCGCCCCCUGCGUAGUAGAUCCUACAUCUCGCAUCGGGUCCCGGCGAAGGCCAGCCGUCGAACCUUUUAUUUCAUGGUUUGACCUCGGAUCAGGUAGGGUUACCCGCUGAACUUAAGCAUAUCAAUAAGCGGAGGA